UACGAAGGGGGUUAGCGUUGCUCGGAAUUACUGGGCGUAAAGCGCACGUAGGCGGAUCGUUAAGUCAGGGGUGAAAUCCUGGAGCUCAACUCCAGAACUGCCUUUGAUACUGGGAAUCUCGAGUCCGGAAGAGGUGAGUGGAACUGCGAGUGUAGAGGUGAAAUUCGUAGAUAUUCGCAAGAACACCAGUGGCGAAGGCGGCUCACUGGUCCGGUACUGACGCUGAGGUGCGAAAGCGUGGGGAGCAAACAGG
RNAcentral lists this ribosomal RNA (253 nucleotides) under uncultured bacterium. RNAcentral describes it as "partial 16S ribosomal RNA". It matches the Rfam family "Bacterial small subunit ribosomal RNA", at positions 524 to 776 of the family's 1533-position model. The record is from RNAcentral.